RNAcentral lists this long non-coding RNA (2897 nucleotides) under Olea europaea subsp. europaea. The record is from RNAcentral. Lineage: Eukaryota; Viridiplantae; Streptophyta; Magnoliopsida; Lamiales; Oleaceae.
CUUGCACAAUGCUUUAACAUUUUGAAUUUUUGCAGGAUGAAUUAUCAUCUAGAUGUAGAGUUGAGACGGAUGCCGGGAAAAGCUACGUGGAACAGUAGCUUUGACAGUUUCACGACUGUAUUGGAGCUACUCGAUGAUCAGCAUGCAGAUAUAUUGCGUCAGUCCUUUCUUUGGCCUCUGUACCAGUUGAGAGAGGUGCAGUACUUAGGGCAGAUUAUCGAUGCACUUUUAUGUCGGUUGCUGAGUCGAGUCGACGGCGAUGCCUUCCACUUCGAUCUCGGGGGCAAAGUCGUCAGUUUUUCGAUGUUCGAGUUUGCACUGGUCACUGGAUUAAAGAUUACGGGCGAUGAAGCAGCUAGUAAAGAGAUUCAGAGAAGAAAUAGGCUACACGAUGCUUACUUUCAGGGACAGGGAGCGAUUAUUCUACCGCAGCUGAUCGACGCAAUCAGGAGGUGUGAUCAGAUGCUAGAUAGACUGAAGUUAGGUCUGGUUUACAUCCUUGAGAGCGUGUUGCGGUGUCACCAUAAGAAGACUGCGAUCGACAUCUUCCAUCUGGAGAUCGUCGACGAUAUUGAUCGCUUCAACAACUAUCAUUGGGGUCGGAGAUGUUUCGAGGAUACUGUACACGUGUUCACUAGAUCACACUCGAAGCCCAAGGGGUUUGUGCGUAAAUACGACACUUAUGGGUUGCCCUUGGCACUGCAGGUAAAUGAUUAACAUAAUCAAUAUUAAAAUAUUUUUAUAUUGAAUUUGUAUAUAAUAAUUGUAUGUGUUGUAGAUUUGGGCUUAUGAGACCGUUCCUCUAUUGGGUACUCGCUUUGCGAAGCGGGGGGGGGGUAUACGUUGCCCUCGAAUGUACCAUUGGCGAGCAUCUCGAGCAGAAGGAUGUCCAACUGGGAAACAAUUAUCGGCUCUUCUCGACGACCCUCAUGUGAGUAUUAUACAUUUGUGAUUUAUAUUGUACGUAGUUUAAAAUCUCAUUACAUGAUUGUAACGAUUUGAAUUGUUAAUAUGUCAGCUUGAAGUAAUAACUGAUUUGACACUGUCGAUGGAGGAGGAGGCUAAGGGUCUGGUGCAUGAAUUACCCAUUUCGCACACUCAAGACGAUCAGAUGUCCGAUUCGGUCCACGAUCGAGAUUGGGUACGUGAAUUGAAUAUAAUUUAUUGAUUACCGUUUUGUAUGAGUUAGCAAUUAUUGAUUAAGUUAAUAAUUUGUAAUAUUUGUGUUGGAGUACGGUUCAGUUGAUCGACGAUUGCCUCCGCCACGGGCAUCACCUCCACCCAGGGCAUCACCUCCAUCCCAGUCCAGAGACCUUCCUCGUGAAUUUCUUCCACGUAGUCAAGGUCAUUAUUUCGAUGAUCUGUAUGCUCGUCUGACUGGAUUUAUGGCGCAGGAGCUCGGCGUGCUACGUCGAGAGAUGAUAGAGAGGGUCGACAAUUUGGGACGACAGUUGGUAGGAAGGGUUGAAGAUUUAUCCGAUGAUGUUAGAGUGCUGCAUAACCAUUACGUGGACCUUCACGAUGAUAUUGUAGCACUCCGAGGUGAUAUAGCCGACAGACGAUUGAGUUGGCGAGCCUGGAGGAGGUGAUGGUCGCCGAGGCGGAGGAGAAGAGGACAACCGCUGUGACUAAAGCUAAAAAGCGUAUUGUUGACGUGUCAGAGCUGUUGGUCGACAAAGAGGUCGAGAGUGUCGUCACAGUACAUCGUCUCUCCUUUCACAACUGAGACGAAAAGCAGUUUCGUCGAUGGGACGUAGCUCAAUCUGUUUCGGGAGGUUGAACAGGCCAAAUGAAAAGUAUUCGAGAUUGAGUGGCGAAGAAUUUUGCCCAGGUAAGUAUUGUAUGAUUUUAGUAGAUCACGAUAACUCGUAUAUGCUUCGUUUAACAUUUUAUCUAUUUAUUUAGAGUCAGCCGUAUGAUAGUUGGAAGGAUGAUAUUGGACACAUAUAAGUGGUUUCAUGAUAUCACCACUCAGGGGACUUGGCUCGCCGACUACGUAAGUAACUCAUAUUGUUACUUUUUUUUAUACUUUAUGUUUGAUUUAUUAAAUGAAAUACCUCUCAUUUUUUUUUGUUUUUCUUAAUGCAGCACAUCGACAUGAUCAUAGGCUUUCUAUGCGAUCGAGCUAAGAGAUAUCCACGAUUAUUCCAAAUUCCUGGUCAAAUAAUACUGAAUAUCGAGUUCUUCCGUGCCGUUAUAAUUAAAUAUCAGGUGCUCCAACUUAUAGGUAAUGAGACAUGCUGUCUGGGUAUAUAUUCAAAUGCGUUAUCAAGCGAUCACCGAGUGUUGUGUAAAAGUCAUAGGAGGGUUAUACGCAUAUGUACAUUUCAGUGAUCGUGAAUCAUCACUGCAUUGCUCUGGAUAUCAUAUUUGUUGACUCGACGUUAUAUGUGUAUGAUCCCGAUCAUUUAUGUCUAACACAAUGGCAGCUAGAGCUGAACUUGGAGCCGGUAAUUAUGAACGUUAAUCUGAUGGCUAGAAAGGCGGGCUUGACUGUGCAGGACAAACUAGCCAUCGUGCGGUCAACGACGAUGUGACAAUCUAUAUCGUAAGUGUUUGUCAAUUAUUUUUAAACAUAUAAAUUAGUUUUUACGUAGUUGGAAUCAAUUAACACAUUAUUGUUCAUUUGUGGGGGGACUGUGGCAUUUUGACUAUCAAGUACAAUAAAUUUUUUAGUAUAGCACAUAAGAUUAAUGGAAUCAACUAGUCAUGAAUACAGAAUUUGCGAAAUAAGUUAGCGUGCGAUUUAUACGAAUUUGAUUGUGAUCCAUAAAUUAUUUGUAAUUAUUCAUUCUUAUUAUUUGUAAUUAUUUUUUGAUUUUUUUGUAAUUUAAUUUUUUUGUAAUUAUUUUUUGUAAUGUAUAGCCAUUAAUUUUUUUUUUUUUGUGAUAUGAAAC